RNAcentral lists this ribosomal RNA (253 nucleotides) under uncultured bacterium. RNAcentral describes it as "partial 16S ribosomal RNA". It matches the Rfam family "Bacterial small subunit ribosomal RNA", at positions 524 to 776 of the family's 1533-position model. The record is from RNAcentral.
UACGAAGGGGGCUAGCGUUGCUCGGAUUGACUGGGCGUAAAGGGCGCGUAGGCGGUUUGUACAGUCAGACGUGAAAUUCCUGGGCUCAACCUGGGGGCUGCGUUUGAUACGUGCAGACUUGAGUUCGGAAGAGGGUCGUGGAAUUCCCAGUGUAGAGGUGAAAUUCGUAGAUAUUGGGAAGAACACCGGUGGCGAAGGCGGUUCUCUGGGACGGUACUGACGCUGAGACGCGAAAGCGUGGGGAGCGAACAGG